This 96-nucleotide microRNA precursor is filed under the name Triticum aestivum (bread wheat). Its description in RNAcentral is "mir-160 microRNA precursor family". It matches the Rfam family "mir-160 microRNA precursor family". From Rfam's summary of the family: The hairpin precursors (represented here) are predicted based on base pairing and cross-species conservation -- their extents are not known. In this case the mature sequence is excised from the 5' arm of the hairpin. Lineage: Eukaryota; Viridiplantae; Streptophyta; Magnoliopsida; Poales; Poaceae. The record is from Rfam by way of RNAcentral. RNAcentral also lists the same sequence under 1 other name.
AUAUGCCUGGCUCCCUGUAUGCCACUCGCGUAGCUGCCAACUCCCCAAACCUUGCGUUGGCUCUACCGCGGAUGGCGUGCGAGGAGCCAAGCAUGA